UACAGAGGGGGCAAGCGUUGUUCGGAAUUACUGGGCGUAAAGGGCGCGUAGGCGGCCUGCUAAGUCGAACGUGAAAUCCCUGGGCUCAACCCAGGAACUGCGUCCGAUACUGGUUGGCUUGAAUCCGGGAGAGGGAUGCGGAAUUCCAGGUGUAGCGGUGAAAUGCGUAGAUAUCGGAAGGAACACCGGUGGCGAAAGCGGCGCGCUGGACCUCUUCUGACGCUGAGGCGCGAAAGCCAGGGGAGCAAACGGG
RNAcentral lists this ribosomal RNA (253 nucleotides) under uncultured bacterium. RNAcentral's name for it is "partial 16S ribosomal RNA". It matches the Rfam family "Bacterial small subunit ribosomal RNA", at positions 524 to 776 of the family's 1533-position model. The record is from RNAcentral.